Molecule: small RNA, 415 nt
Filed under: Histoplasma capsulatum var. duboisii H88
Lineage: Eukaryota; Fungi; Ascomycota; Eurotiomycetes; Onygenales; Ajellomycetaceae
Description: Histoplasma capsulatum H88 hypothetical RNA
Source: RNAcentral
AACCCUCAGGCUCGUCAAAAUCUGCACUGUACGGUCCACAGCUCUCUGCAAGUUGACAUCAUCACCACCACCGUCCAUCCAUCACUGUUUUCAGUUUUCCUUCCGUUUCAAAAUGAUACAUUGACAUUCCUUUGUUGCCAGCGCUGGCAAACAAAUAUUGAAUUUAUUCUCAUAUAUGUAUCAUCAUACGACCCUUCACUCAUGAUAGAAUAAAGUUCCUUCACUUGGGUUUUAGAUUCUCCGGUUAAAUCAGGUGGUGGAUUCAUUAUCGGUGGCUUCUUCUGAUUGAAACAGUAGUUUUGGAUUGAUAAGAGCCUGUGAUUGGAAUGACUCAGAUGCUAAGCAGCAUGUUCGCUCACACAUGCCAUAUGAGAAAGAAGCGACCUUCUUUCUCAUCAGAUCCGUCUACACUGGC